RNAcentral lists this ribosomal RNA (446 nucleotides) under uncultured bacterium. RNAcentral's name for it is "partial 16S ribosomal RNA". It matches the Rfam family "Bacterial small subunit ribosomal RNA", at positions 338 to 795 of the family's 1533-position model. The record is from RNAcentral.
CCUACGGGAGGCAGCAGUCGAGAAUCAUUCACAAUGGGGGAAACCCUGAUGGUGCGACGCCGCGUGGGGGAAUGCAGGUCUUCGGAUUGUAAACCCCUGUCAUGUGGGAGCAAAUUAAAAAGAUAGUACCACAAGAGGAAGAGACGGCUAACUCUGUGCCAGCAGCCGCGGUACUACAGAGGUCUCAAGCGUUGUUCGGAAUCACUGGGCGUAAAGCGUGCGUAGGCUGUUUCGUAAGUCGUGUGUGAAAGGCGCGGGCUCAACCCGCGGACGGCACAUGAUACUGCGAGACUAGAGUAAUGGAGGGGGAACCGGAAGUCGCGGUGUAGCAGUGAAAUGCGUAGAUAUCGAGAGGAACACUCGUGGCGAAGGCGGGUUCCUGGACAUUAACUGACGCUGAGGCACGAAGGCGAGGGGAGCGAAAGGGAUUAGAUACCCUUGUAGUC